Tetranychus urticae (two-spotted spider mite) is the source of this 2416-nucleotide long non-coding RNA. RefSeq lists it as uncharacterized. The record is from RefSeq and is a predicted model, not a curated record. NCBI's taxonomy places the organism in Eukaryota, Metazoa, Arthropoda, Arachnida, Trombidiformes, Tetranychidae.
UCUCUGUCUACAUUGUUUACAGAAACAGUCAUGAAUUUACGUGCCUGCGCGUAUCUAGCGUAUCUAUUUAAACAGAAGUCAGAGCAGCUUUUUACUCACACGCAUUUGGUUUCCUGAUGAAGAAGAAAGCUCUUAAAUCUUUGCUCUAUUGUGAUUUAGAUCCUAAUUAUCAGUUAAUUAUUUUAAACUUAUUUUUAUUUGAGUUAAUUUUUUGAAAAUCUCAUUGAUCCUUAACACUUGUAACCCUUAUUUGAAUUAAAUUGGUUUUGUUUUCAAUUGAAAAUAUGGAGACGAUGAAUAGUAAUCGGUGUAUGCCCAAUUUUCAACUCAAGUCGUCAAUGCACCUCGGCGAGGGGCCUCUGUGGUGCUCCUGAUGCGCCCCACAACACUGCAAAUAACAUCACCCUAAUCGAAAUAGAGGUGCGCAGUGGUGUGGGGAAUUUACAUUCUCCUUACCAGAUAAAUAACCUUGAGAAAGUGUUAAAGGAGACAGAAGAUCAUCCAGUUUGGUUGAAAUUUAUAUUCAACACUUUGGAUCAUGGCAGAAUUGCAUUGGAUUCUAUUUUAUGGUCUGGAAACCUCUACUUAGGAGCUAAGGCUAAUCUUAUUCAAAAAAUUUCCAAAGAGGAAUUUGUUAACCUUUUAGAGCUUGCGGAAGAGGAUCUCAAUUGUGACCAUGUUAUUCUUUGCAUACCCAAGAAGGAACCUGACAGAAACCUUAUAGUUCGUACCUUCAUGUACUUUGGUUUCACCUUAUUGGCACCCAAUAAUCAACUGAUACCUGCCGAUGCAAAUUCUGAUGACUUAUACAUGGCAACAAGCUUCAAUUAAUCUGAUUGAGCAAAUGAAACAAAAAUUAUUCACUUAAAAGAUAUCAAAAUAAUUUCUUCUGAUUCUCCUUACUUACACUUAUAUAUAUAAUUCAUUAUACUUUACAUUUUUUUCUUUCUACCACACACAUCAUUGUUAUCCUUCCAACUUAUGUUGAAAUUUGAUUAAACGAAUAAUUCAAUCGCCAAUUAUUAAUUAACAAUUCAAAUUGGAUAUUAGCUUGUAUUUUUCAAUUCUCAUACGUUGCUAUUGAAGACAAUUUUAGACAAGAAAAGCUCAGUCACAUGAUGAGAUUUAUACUGAUAUUUGGAAAGAUAAAGAUGAGUGUUGAAAAAAACAGGUCAUACUAUUAGAUACGAAGCUAACCAGUCAUGGUUAAUAAAGUGAUCUCAAUUAAUGGUAUUGAAUUGAAGUCCUCAAAAUGUGACGUGAUUAAGCUAAUCUUUGCAUAGUUGAAUGUCAUUUUGUAUUUUAUUGCAUUUAACUUUCACUUUAUAUGAAACUGUGAGAGUUGAAUCAAAAAUGGUAUUGGAAAUUAACCCAUAAAAUCGGUUAACAUGCGUAUCGAUCAACAAAGUGAUUUCGGUCCUUGUAUUAAAUAAAAGCAGCUAGAAUCUUUUCCAUUCGUCAUUUUGUAAUAAACGAACUAAAAAUAUGAAUCUUGAUUCACUUGUUUUUUCUUUUUCUUUUUCUUUCUCCUUCUCUUUCUAUGUUGGUGUGAAUGUACAUAUUGACAAGAAUGAUAAUCAUCAGUAAUCAAUGAUAACAAUAAAACUCAACGACAAAUGAGGUCGAUCAUGGAAAAUUCACAAUGAGGAUAAUGAUUCAGAUAUAAUGCGGAGAUUGGAAGAAGAAAGGAGAAAGGAGAAAAGAUGAUAAAGAGGUUAAUCAACAAAACAAAGCAACAAAGCAACAGAGAGGAAGAAGUAAACAAACUGAUUGAGGAAAGCUUACAAGUGGAAAGCAGACCAAUGAGCCAAUCAAAAAAUGUGCAAUGGUGUAGUUUGUUAAUAUUAGUGAACAAGAUAACCUAUGGUUUUAUCUUUUGCAGAGAGUGUUAUUCAAUUAUUUUUGUUUUAUUUGUGUGACAAUCAACCAACUAUCAACAAGAUGAUUGUAGUUUCAAUAGACAACAAAUUACAUCAAUUCGGUCAAGGAGAACCGAUAAGAAAGCUUACUAUAGUUUGCCCGAAGAAGCUAAAGUUAAAGUAAAAGCUGGUUGCAAAGCUGGUGUUAAAGCUGAUGAUGGUGAGGUGACAAAGAAGAAAAGGAAACCGUGGAUGAGGUUAGUUGUUACACGGUGAAUGGAAUCAGGUCUGGUUUCUGGUCGAUUCGAGAAUAAAGAUGGCUGUUGAACUUUCUGGAAAGCUGGCCCAAUUCAUGGAACCUUUGAGUUUAAACAUGCGACAAAUAUGGCGAUCACAAUCAUCCGAGAAUAAUAAUUUUCUAUGGAAUACUCCAAGCUCUGAUUAUUUCUUCAACUCAUGCCGUUGUCUGUGAAGUUACGGGAUCAUUGAGUAUAUCAUUAUUAGCCUCAUGACAUUUGGUUAGUCCUAUGGUCCAUGAUAAUGGAUCAAUGAAGAUG